ACAUGGGUACCUACCUUGGAGUGAGGGAUACCGGCGAGAAAUCGCCGACAAUACCGCAUAGGCUGCUUCCGCGAGGGAGCAGCAAAGUUGCGCAAGUGACGCUUUGAGAUGGGCCUGUGGCCGAUUAGCUAGUUGGGGGGUAACGGCCUCCCAAGGCGACGAUCGGUAGCUGGUCUGAGAGGACGAUCAGCCACACUGGGAUUGAGAACGGCCCAG
Molecule: ribosomal RNA, 216 nt
Filed under: uncultured bacterium
Lineage: Bacteria
Description: partial 16S ribosomal RNA
Rfam family: Bacterial small subunit ribosomal RNA
Source: RNAcentral